RNAcentral lists this ribosomal RNA (384 nucleotides) under uncultured bacterium. RNAcentral describes it as "bacterial SSU rRNA". It matches the Rfam family "Bacterial small subunit ribosomal RNA", at positions 29 to 414 of the family's 1533-position model. The record is from RNAcentral.
AUUGAACGCUGGCGGAAUGCUUUACACAUGCAAGUCGAGCGGCAGCGCGGGGGCAACCCUGGCGGCGAGCGGCGAACGGGUGAGUAAUACAUCGGAACGUGUCCUUCAAGUGGGGGAUAGCUCGGCGAAAGCCGGAUUAAUACCGCAUAAGCUCUGAGGAGGAAAGCGGGGGACUGGUAACGGCCUCGCGCUGUUGGAGCGGCCGAUGUCGGAUUAGCUAGUUGGUGGGGAAAGCCCACCAAGGCGACGAUCCGUAGCUGGUCUGAGAGGAUGAUCAGCCACACUGGAACUGAGACACGGUCCAGACUCCUACGGGAGGCAGCAGUGGGGAAUUUUGGACAAUGGGGCAACCCUGAUCCAGCCAUUCCGCGUGAGUGAAGAAGG